This 784-nucleotide long non-coding RNA is filed under the name Suricata suricatta (meerkat). Its description in RNAcentral is "lncRNA (ENSSSUG00005007045.1)". Lineage: Eukaryota; Metazoa; Chordata; Mammalia; Carnivora; Herpestidae. The record is from RNAcentral.
ACAAGGCCCCCAAUUAUGAGGAUCAGAAAUGAGACCCGGUAGAGACAGCGAGUGGGAGAGGCAGCCUCCAGCCGGGUGCUGAAGGCCGCUGACCGUGUGAGUCAGAGAGUGAGUGUGAGUGUGACAGGAAGAGACAGAGAGAGGCAGAGAAUGAGAGACAGAGACCAGGCAGGUUAGGCCGAUGUGACCGUGUCCUCCCCAGGCCACGAAGGGAGCAGGAACUUCAGGUGGUCUUCAUCAAGCUACAUGGUGGCCACGGUCACUGUCAAGGGCAGGAUGAUCACAGGCAGUGACACUGGACUCAGUGGGAUCCAGGCACAUGACGUGCAGAACCCGCUCCAUUUCAGGGAGAUGAGAUACCUGUCUGUGCAGCUAAAGGCAGUGGAGAGGAGCCCAAAGAGUCAGCAGAUGUGAGGGAACUUUAUCAGAGGAAGGCCACCUCUGGAAGGUAGCAAAAACCAAAAGGAUCUCUGGAUUAUCUGUGUGGGCUUUUUACUUUGCUUGUUUUUACCAAAAAAAAAGGUAAGAAAGGAGAAAACCUUUAAUUUAAAAACAAGUAUCUUUGAAUUUUCUCUUAUUUAAGAAGCGUGUGUAAAACACUUGUUUAACACAAGGCACUGGGCUGGGGCUUUGGCCGGUUCAGACACGAUGCACACGUGAGCUCUGCCCCUCCCCCACCGCGCCUCGGGGUUUACUCAGUGACUGAGGCAAUUAUUUUCAACAACUGGUGCUCUUUUAGAGCAUAAUGCUGGCACAGAUUUAAAACGUGCUUAGAGAAUUAGGC